GAGGUCAAGGAGAGAACAGACCGGAGAAAACAUCAAAACAGAAGAGAAAAACUCGAAAAAUGGAGUAGAAAUGGGAAGGGAAUAAUCUGACAAUGAGCAGUUUCUGAUUGGGUCUGGCCGAAAAUUUCAAGUUUUGCCGAAAAAUACAAAAAGCUGGUUCGUUUGGUAUUCGUUGUUGGUUCGGGGAUUUAGAUUUCAGUUCAUCUUAACUCGUUCGUUGAGUUCAGUUUUGGGUUUCAAUUCCUCAAUACUGAGUUGGAUCUUGAUCGCAUUGAGGUUCCUUGUUCGAGGUUUUCGGUUUUGGAUUUCUCUAUUAUCAACGAAAACGAGUUCUAUUGAGGUCCACUCCUUUAACUCGCUCUCUUUUUCUUUAUUUUGGUUGUUUAAAUUGACUAUGACUAUGUGUUUGUCUAUUCUGAUUGUUGGAUGUUUGCUGAUGUUAUUGAUGUUAUGAUCAUGUGCUUGGUGAUAUGAUUUCGAGGGUUUGAGGAACAAAUUUGUUAGUUUUAAUUGUGCUAUUGAUAGGAAAGAAUUUGGGGCGCGAAUUGACAAAUUGCUAAAAUGGAUUAGGAUUAAUUUUGAUUUAUUGUUGUUUUGAUUCAUUGACGCCAUCGAUCGGGAUAGUGCCAUGAUAGGUCGAGUUGGGUAGGCAAAAGGUAGGUUGGGUAGGCAAAGUUUACUGUGAUUUGUUGAACGUGUGAAUAUUUAUUGAAUGGUUCUUUCUAUUUUAUCGCAUUAAAAAUGUAUUCAUUUGGCCGGGGAAUGCCCCGAGAGAUUUGUAUUGAUUUAUCCGAGGAAUACCCCGAAGUAUCAUGUACUUGAAGACGGCGCACGAUCAAGGCCCGGAACAUCAGGUGGAGAAAGUAAUGGAGCAUAGUUAUGAUUAGUUUAGAACAAGACAGGUUUAUAUUUUCGCAUUUUUUAUUUUUUCGGGAUUAUAUAAGUGGACUGGACUUUAAAUUUUGGAUUGUUUUGUCUUGUUUGUUUGAUCGAUUGUUUUUGCUUGUUU
This is a long non-coding RNA of Capsicum annuum, 1009 nucleotides long. RefSeq lists it as uncharacterized. The transcript is spliced from 2 exons. The record is from RefSeq and is a predicted model, not a curated record. NCBI's taxonomy places the organism in Eukaryota, Viridiplantae, Streptophyta, Magnoliopsida, Solanales, Solanaceae.